This 478-nucleotide ribosomal RNA is filed under the name uncultured bacterium. RNAcentral's name for it is "partial 16S ribosomal RNA". It matches the Rfam family "Bacterial small subunit ribosomal RNA", at positions 28 to 507 of the family's 1533-position model. The record is from RNAcentral.
GAUGAACGCUGGCGGCGUGCUUAACACAUGCAAGUCGAACGAGAAGUGAAGACGGAUACCUUCGGGCGGAAGGCGUUAUUUCGAUUGGCGGACGGUGGAGUAACGCGUGGGUAACCUGCCUCAUACAGGGGGAUAACAGUUGGAAACGACUGUUAAUACCGCAUAAGACCACAGCACCGCAUGGUGCGGGGGUAAAAACUCCGGUGGUAUGAGAUGGACCCGCGUUCGAUUAGCCAGUUGUCGGGGUAACGGCCCACCAAAGCGACGAUCGAUAGCCGAUCUGAGAGGAUGACCGGCCACAUUGAGACUGAGACACGGCCCAAACUCCUACGGGAGGCAGCAGUGGGGAAUAUUGCACAAUGGCGGAAACCCUGAUGCAGCGACGCCGCGUGAAUGAAGAAGUAUUGCGGUAUGUAAAGCUCUAUCAGCAGGGAAGAAAAUGACGGUACCUGAGUAAGAAGCCCCGGCUAACUACGUG